GACGAACGCUGGCGGCGUGCUUAACACAUGCAAGUCGAACGGAAAGGCCCUGCUUUUGUGGGGUGCUCGAGUGGCGAACGGGUGAGUAACACGUGAGUAACCUGCCCUUGACUUUGGGAUAACUUCAGGAAACUGGGGCUAAUACCGGAUAGGAGCUCCUGCUGCAUGGUGGGGGUUGGAAAGUUUCGGCGGUUGGGGCUGGACUCGCGGCUUAUCAGCUUGUUGGUGGGGUAGUGGCUUACCAAGGCUUUGACGGGUAGCCGGCCUGAGAGGGUGACCGGCCACAUUGGGACUGAGAUACGGCCCAGACUCCUACGGGAGGCAGCAGUGGGGAAUAGUGCACAAUGGGCGGAAGCCUGAUGCAGCAACGCCGCGUGCGGGAUGACGGCCUUCGGGUUGUAAACCGCUUUCGCCUGUGACGAAGCGUGAGUGACGGUAAUGGGUAAAGAAGCACCGGCUAACUACGUG
This 468-nucleotide ribosomal RNA is filed under the name uncultured bacterium. Its description in RNAcentral is "partial 16S ribosomal RNA". It matches the Rfam family "Bacterial small subunit ribosomal RNA", at positions 28 to 507 of the family's 1533-position model. The record is from RNAcentral.